This 157-nucleotide unclassified non-coding RNA is filed under the name uncultured Xylariaceae. RNAcentral describes it as "sequence contains ITS2". Lineage: Eukaryota; Fungi; Ascomycota; Sordariomycetes; Xylariales; Xylariaceae. The record is from RNAcentral.
CAACCCUUAAGCCUCAGUUGCUUAGUGUUGGGAGCCUACAGCCUGCUGUAGCUCCUCAAAGACAGUGGCGGAGUCGGUCUCGUACCCCGGACGUAGUAAUUUUUAUCUCGUCUGUUGGUCGGGCUGGCGUCCAGCCGUAAAACAACCCAAUUUUAAA